CCUACGGGUGGCAGCAGUAGGGAAUUUUGCACAAUGGGGGAAACUCUGAUGCAGCAAUGCCGCGUGAGGGAAGAAGGCUUUCGGUAUGGAAAGCUCCAUCAGCAGGGAAGAAGAUGACGGUACCUGAUUAAGAAUCCCCGGCUAACUACGUGCCAGCAGCCGCGGCAAUACGUAGGAGGCAAGCGUUAUCCGGAUUUACUGGGUGUAAAGGGAGCGCAGACGGCAGUGCAAGUCUGUAGUGAAAGCCCGGGGCCCAACCCCGGAACUGCUCUGGAAACUGUGCGGCUAGAGUACAGGAGGGGCAGGCGGAAUGCAUAGUGUAGCGGUGAAAUGCGUAGAUAUUAGGAGGAACACCAGUGGCGAAGGCGGCCUGCUGAACAAUAACUGACGUUGAGGCUCGAAAGCGUGGGGAGCAAACAGGAUUAGAUACCCCUGUAGUC
This 440-nucleotide ribosomal RNA is filed under the name uncultured bacterium. Its description in RNAcentral is "partial 16S ribosomal RNA". It matches the Rfam family "Bacterial small subunit ribosomal RNA", at positions 338 to 795 of the family's 1533-position model. The record is from RNAcentral.